GACGAACGCUGGCGGCGUGCUUAACACAUGCAAGUCGAACGGAAAGGCCCUGCUUUUGUGGGGUGCUCGAGUGGCGAACGGGUGAGUAACACGUGAGUAACCUGCCCUUGACUUUGGGAUAACUUCAGGAAACUGGGGCUAAUACCGGAUAGGAGCUCCUGCAGCAUGGUGGGGGUUGGAAAGUUUCGGCGGUUGGGGAUGGACUCGCGGCUUAUCAGCUUGUUGGUGGGGUAGUGGCUUACCAAGGUUUUGACGGGUAGCCGGCCUGAGAGGGUGACCGGCCACAUUGGGACUGAGAUACGGCCCAGACUCCUACGGGAGGCAGCAGUGGGGAAUAUUGCACAAUGGGCGGAAGCCUGAUGCAGCAACGCCGCGUGCGGGAUGACGGCCUUCGGGGUGUAAACCGCUUUCGCCUGUGACGAAGCGUGAGUGACGGUAAUGGGUAAGGAAGCACCGGCUAACUACGUG
RNAcentral lists this ribosomal RNA (468 nucleotides) under uncultured bacterium. Its description in RNAcentral is "partial 16S ribosomal RNA". It matches the Rfam family "Bacterial small subunit ribosomal RNA", at positions 28 to 507 of the family's 1533-position model. The record is from RNAcentral.